Long non-coding RNA from Hemicordylus capensis (graceful crag lizard), 407 nucleotides. RefSeq lists it as uncharacterized. The transcript is spliced from 3 exons. The record is from RefSeq and is a predicted model, not a curated record. NCBI's taxonomy places the organism in Eukaryota, Metazoa, Chordata, Lepidosauria, Squamata, Cordylidae.
UAGUCACAGCACAAAGCCAAAGUUAUGACAGCAGCAGGAUUUGGAUGACACAAUUCCACCUUCAAACCUGAGGCAGCUCUGUAUCCAGUGUAUGCUGUCCCAUGUACACCCUGUGACCUAGCAGUUACCAGAGCAUGGAUAACCGUUUUGUGAACUUCUUGAUGAAAAGUGGCAUAUAAAUAUUUAAAUUUAACACUUUGGAUAAGCGGAAUGCAGCUGCACCCGAACAAGAUAAAGCUCCUCCAUCAAGAUGAUGAACAAUUUGGAUGAAGAGCCUUCGAGAUGAAGACAAAAGCUGAAGAAGUGAAGCUGAUACAACCCCGGACAGCUAAAGAAUGCCGCAGCCUGCAGAUGAAUAGCCCUCAUUUGUGAAUAUACAGAUUUUCCAUGAUGAAUAAAAACGGAGU